AGAGAUGUCAACGGGUCGGAUUCGGGGCGGAUUUUUAAAAACCCGAACCCGAACCCGACUCUAAACCCGAGACCCGAACCCGAACCCGAACCCGAUGGAUUUUAAAAAUCCAUAUCCAAACCCGAACCCGACCAAAAAUCCGAAACCCGAACCCGAACCCGAACCCGAAAAUUUGAACCUGAAACAAUUAUUUCUUUUUUCAAUAUUUCAAAAUAUAUUAUAUUAAAUUUAAAUUUUUAAAAUACAAAUUCAAAUAUAACAUCAAAUUUUUAUAUAUAUAUUAUAUAUAAUACAAAAUAAAUUCGGAUUUGGGUCGGGUUCGGGUUCGGGUCGGGUACAAUCAAAAUCCAUAUCCGAAUCCAUAUUCAUCGGGUUUCUAUUUUUGAUAUCCAUAUCCGAAUCCAUAUCCAUAUCCAUCGGAUAUAUCCGUUUCAUUCGGGUUCGGGUUCGAAUAAAAUCUCGGGUAUCCAUACCCAUUGAC
RNAcentral lists this long non-coding RNA (481 nucleotides) under Ananas comosus (pineapple). RNAcentral describes it as "long non-coding RNA (ACOM_LNC035345)". Lineage: Eukaryota; Viridiplantae; Streptophyta; Magnoliopsida; Poales; Bromeliaceae. The record is from RNAcentral.